GCUGGGUGUGAUGGCUCAUGCUUGUAAUCCCAGCAGCUCAGGAGGCUGAGGCAGGAGGAUGGAGAGUUCAAGGUAAGACUCAGCAACUUAGUGAGGCCCUAAGCAAAUCAGUGAGACCCUGUCUCUA
RNAcentral lists this small RNA (127 nucleotides) under Marmota monax (woodchuck). The record is from RNAcentral. Lineage: Eukaryota; Metazoa; Chordata; Mammalia; Rodentia; Sciuridae.